GGAGGGUUGUCCCAGGGGUGUGGCUAGAAGAUGGGAGGGCAGUGGAGGCAGUGACAGCAGCUGCCAUAGGAAAAGGAGCUCGCCCUAUGGACACAAGUAUGCGGGAAGUCCCAGGAGGCACAGCCUGAGAUAAGAAAGAAAAGAGAUGGAGAAACGCAGAACACAGGAUACAGGAGGAAGAACAAAGGUCUCUGGGCGUGCGGGACCAGAACAGGAAGAAGGGGUUGUUAUGAUGGAAGAGUGAGGGGCUUCCAGUCCCUGACAGCUGCCUGGCUCACUGAGCUCCAGCAGAGAUGAGCGUGGGUCAGGGGACAAGGAUAUAGGCAGCUCUUGUGGAGAGCAUGCCAACAUCCACCUUUCAGGUCCCAGCAUGGCCCCAUCGGGGUCUCGAGGGUGUGCCCUGGUGUGAGUAGGCCCAAGUGCAAUCAAGGUUGCCACAAACUCGUGGAAGGUGAGGAUGAGCCUCGGUGUAAUCAACACUGGGAGGGAAGAACCCAGGCAGCAUGGUUUUUUUAACUAAAAAGUUUUUCAUAUAAUACAUUCUGAUUAUCAUUUCUUCUCCCUCAUCUCCUUCAAGAUCCUCCCCACCUUAACAUAGAAGCAAAAGGCCAGUAAGGUUUUUUUUAAAUGCCCAAACAAAGCAUUAUGAAACAGAAAAGAAAAAAUAUAGAUCAUUGAGUUCAUAAUGUGUUGGCCAUCUCCUGCUGAGCAUGGGGACUACCCCUAAGUGUGGUUUACAUAGGCAGCGAAAGUCCCGUGAAGAAAGUCACUUUUUCUCUGUGAGCAGUUGUCAAUUGGGGAUAGAUUCUUAGUUAGGGAUAAGAGCUUGUCUCUACUUCUCCUCGAAGUGCCUGAAUCCACUCUGCCUUGGACCAGGGCAGGACCCAUUGCAGACAGCAUAAUUUUUGUCAUGGAGAAGUUGUUCCUGUCCUUGACGUCAAAGGCGGCCUGUGACUAUUAAAGUAUUAAGUUCUGGGUCUGGGCAUUUAAACCAGGUUCCUGAACCCUCUGAAAGACCAGGUGAAAAGUCACAGUGGUGGCAUACGCCUUUGAUCCCAGCACUUGGGAGGCAGAGGCAGGAUGAUCUCUGUGAGUUCAAGGCCAGCCUGAUGUACAAAGAGUGUUCCAGCCCAGUAGGGCUCCAUAGUAAGACCUUGUUAAAAAACGAGAGAGAAAGGGGGAUGGAGAAAGAGAAAGGGGGAGAGGGGAGAGACAGAGACUGUGGAGCCCAGUGAGAUCGAGCCUCAAGAGCCCAGCACUUAGGAGGUGGAGGCAAGGGGAUCCAUGUGAGUCACUGCCAACCAGAGCUACAUAGUGAGAUCACCUUUAAAAAAUAAAUUGAAAAAAUCAAACAUCAUUGAAUCCUGCUCCUCUCAUCUGUGAGCCACAUUUCUUCAUAAGCCUCCUGAAAGAUGCCAAUGCCCAAAUAUUCUUCCAGCAAGUCUGGCCUAGAGUAAGACAGAGCAGGGGACAGGACACAGCUGGAUCCUAAGCUGGUCCAGCACACCCACCACCCUUCCUGGAUUUGCUAGGUGCCCCUAAAAGUGGAUUUCUCUUCCUUAGGCCUCAGCCUUGCUCCUUGACUUCAACCACAGGCUCUGGAUGGGAACAGUAUCAGUGUGGACAGGAGUGGGUUUCACAUGUUCUGAUUCUCUGUGCUGCCCCCAAGGGUGGAUUGGGCCACAGGACACUGUUGAUGGUUUGUGGGGUUGCACACUUUGUCUGUAAGCAGGUGGCCAGAAGAGGACACUUGGAUCCCAUGGAACUGGAGUUAGAGGGGAUUGUGAGCUGUCAGAAACGGGGACUGGGCCAAACAAGUCCUCCAGAAGAGCAGCAAGCGCCUUUAGUUACGUAGACAUCUCUCCGGGUCCAGAAGUUCUCCCUUGUGUUUCCACAAAUAAACACUAUUGCUUCCUCCUCCCCCAA
Molecule: long non-coding RNA, 1926 nt
Organism: Mesocricetus auratus (golden hamster)
Lineage: Eukaryota; Metazoa; Chordata; Mammalia; Rodentia; Cricetidae
Exons: 3
Source: RefSeq, a predicted model, not a curated record